Molecule: transfer RNA, 77 nt
Filed under: Xanthomonas campestris
Lineage: Bacteria; Pseudomonadati; Pseudomonadota; Gammaproteobacteria; Lysobacterales; Lysobacteraceae
Also listed under: 64 other names
Description: tRNA-Met
Rfam family: tRNA
About the family: Transfer RNA (tRNA) molecules are approximately 80 nucleotides in length. Their secondary structure includes four short double-helical elements and three loops (D, anti-codon, and T loops). Further hydrogen bonds mediate the characteristic L-shaped molecular structure. tRNAs have two regions of fundamental functional importance: the anti-codon, which is responsible for specific mRNA codon recognition, and the 3' end, to which the tRNAs corresponding amino acid is attached (by aminoacyl-tRNA synthetases). tRNAs cope with the degeneracy of the genetic code in two manners: having more than one tRNA (with a specific anti-codon) for a particular amino acid; and 'wobble' base-pairing, i.e. permitting non-standard base-pairing at the 3rd anti-codon position.
Source: RNAcentral
GGCCCUGUAGCUCAAUUGGUAGAGCGUUCCCCUCAUAAGGGAUUGGUUGCAUGUUCGAGUCUUUGCCAGGGUCACCA